RNAcentral lists this unclassified non-coding RNA (240 nucleotides) under soil metagenome. RNAcentral's name for it is "partial contains 5.8S ribosomal RNA, internal transcribed spacer 2, and large subunit ribosomal RNA". The record is from RNAcentral.
AACCAUAGAAACCUGCGGAGUACCUGCGGAAGGAUCAUUACUGAAUUGAUUUUGGGGAUGUUGCUGGUCUCUUGAGGCAAUGGUGCACUCCCUCAAACAUUUCACAAUUUCCAUCUCACCCAUGUGCACAUCCUGUAGGUGGUCUCCCAACCCCCCCACCUUUCCUUGGGGGAGUGUGUGGGUCUGGUCUCCUAUGUAUUUCCUUGCCAACAUCACACGUUUUAACUGAAUGAAUCCUGU